Schistosoma mansoni is the source of this 45-nucleotide non-coding RNA. The record is from Rfam. Lineage: Eukaryota; Metazoa; Platyhelminthes; Trematoda; Strigeidida; Schistosomatidae.
GUCCGGAUGACGAGUCCCAAAUAGGACGAAACAAGUGUCAUAGAC